Passer montanus (Eurasian tree sparrow) is the source of this 422-nucleotide long non-coding RNA. RefSeq lists it as uncharacterized. Lineage: Eukaryota; Metazoa; Chordata; Aves; Passeriformes; Passeridae. The record is from RefSeq and is a predicted model, not a curated record. The transcript is spliced from 4 exons.
GCCGUGCUGCGCGAGCAGCUGCAGGGGCUGCUGGAGGAGGAGGAGGAGGAAGGGCAGGAGAAGGAGGACGAGGAGCGGGAUCCGCCCCGGCACCGGGAGCAGCCCCAGAGGAAAACCGAGAAACAGCGGCGCCGCGAGAAGGAGCUGAGGGAGAAGCUACGAGGAUCCCGACCCCGAGGUGCAGCUGAGCGAGGAACUGCCCGAGUCCCUGAGGAGCCUCCGGCCCGAGGGGAACGUGCUCAGGGAUCGCUUCAAGAGCCUCCAGAGGAGGAACAUGAUCGAGCCGCGCCUCAGGGCCAAGUUCAAGCGGCGUUACCGGGUGAAAUACGUGGAGAAAAGAUCCUUCCGGGAGGUGACGUGAGUCCGGGGGUCCUGGGGGGGGACCCCGAAAUCUGGGACCCCCCCUGACCCCCGAUCCAAUU